RNAcentral lists this non-coding RNA (30 nucleotides) under Homo sapiens (human). Lineage: Eukaryota; Metazoa; Chordata; Mammalia; Primates; Hominidae. The record is from RNAcentral.
CGACAAGUUAAUAUUAUGUCCAAGAGCUGC